UUGGAGAAGCUUGCUUCUCCAAGUUAGUGGCGGACGGGUGAGUAACGCGUGAGCAACCUGCCUCAAAGAGGGGGAUAACAUUCUGAAAAGGAUGCUAAUACCGCAUGAAAUCACGGGAAGACAUCUUCCUGUGAUCAAAGGAGCAAUCCGCUUUGAGAUGGGCUCGCGUCCGAUUAGGUAGUUGGUGAGGUAACGGCCCACCAAGCCGACGAUCGGUAGCCGGACUGAGAGGUUGAACGGCCACAUUGGGACUGAGACACGGCCCAGACUCC
Molecule: ribosomal RNA, 272 nt
Filed under: uncultured Eubacteriales bacterium
Lineage: Bacteria; Bacillati; Bacillota; Clostridia; Eubacteriales
Also listed under: 1 other name
Description: uncultured Clostridiales bacterium partial 16S ribosomal RNA
Rfam family: Bacterial small subunit ribosomal RNA
Source: RNAcentral